UGGGAAUAUGGCUACAAAGAAAAUUUCGUCAUUCCCUUCUCGUGAGCUCUGUUAUAUGGUGGAUAUUCCUUCUUCAGUGUUUUUUAGAUCAACUUUUCUCCUAGGGUUAAUGAGGCUCUUGCUGAAGAUCAACUAUGUCUGGAGAAUGGUUUUCGCAGAGUCUGAAAGCUCGUCUCACCUAUUUUGUUGUACCUUGCCUUCAGACUGGAAGAAGUAUGACAAAUGAAGAUGUCAUUUCCUAUACGCUUACAUAGUUCAGUAGAAUCCAGAUUUAUUUGCUUUUAGAUAGUACUGCAAAAUAAUGAAAACUACCUACAAAGUGACAGAGAAAAUAACCUGAAAAAUAUAUCUUAUUUCUGAUUUUAAGAAUGAAAUGAUUGUAUGGCCAGUGGAUGCAUAAGUAUGCCUAUCCUCUAUUUAGUUUUCUUUCUGAUACUCAGAUGCUGUUCUUUAUUUUUAAUCUGGUGGUCCUGAUGUGGUUCUAUAUUUCUGUCAGAAUAAGAUUCUCUUAAUUGUGUUAAUAAAAAAUUGUUUAGUUUCA
RNAcentral lists this long non-coding RNA (541 nucleotides) under Anser brachyrhynchus (Pink-footed goose). RNAcentral describes it as "lncRNA (ENSABRG00000006115.1)". Lineage: Eukaryota; Metazoa; Chordata; Aves; Anseriformes; Anatidae. The record is from RNAcentral.